AAAAUUAUUAUUGCAGGUUGAAAUCUAUUGGCAGUGACCAGUGGAAAUCGGGUGCAGCUCAGGAUAUAUUUCUAAGUAGUAUAGCGGACCAGUUUGGAUUGCCCUCCACACCUGAGAUGGGUGAAACGCCCUCUGAUCGGGUAGGUGGCUGCGGAGUAAAUGUUAGUGAUGGAGAUGGAUGGGAGGAAGUGAUCCCGCUGUAUUUGGUCCCGUUCUCCUUCUCCCCUGCUGGAAAAAAGUGAGUGGAUUAAGAGAUAUUUAAGAUCAUUAUUUUUCCUGUGCGCUGCAAUGGUGCUGUAGUUGGCAAACGGAGUGUGUGACUGUUGUGUUGUGAGAAAAUUGUCUUUCCAGCUGUGUUGUAAAGAAGCGAAUUUGUGGGAGAAGGUGGU
Long non-coding RNA from Epinephelus moara (kelp grouper), 389 nucleotides. RefSeq lists it as uncharacterized. The record is from RefSeq and is a predicted model, not a curated record. Lineage: Eukaryota; Metazoa; Chordata; Actinopteri; Perciformes; Serranidae. The transcript has 3 exons.